Molecule: unclassified non-coding RNA, 250 nt
Filed under: plant metagenome
Description: partial contains small subunit ribosomal RNA, internal transcribed spacer 1, and 5.8S ribosomal RNA
Source: RNAcentral
GUAGGUGAACCUGCGGAAGGAUCAUUACCAAAUCCAAAAAAAACUUUAUCAACACCCAAUGUGAACUGAGAGUGGUUUCGUUCCCCUCCUUCUUCCUUCUUUCUUUCCUACUCUUUUCUUAGAGUGGGAGGGGAAUGAGGGGUUGGCGGGAGGGGAAUGCCUUUUUUUUUUAACCCCUUUACAACUAUACAACCAUUAUUUAUGCUGAAAGCAAACCAAAAACGAAACAUGAGACAACUUUUAACGGUGG